This 568-nucleotide long non-coding RNA is filed under the name Homo sapiens (human). RNAcentral's name for it is "HSALNT0194691". The record is from RNAcentral. Lineage: Eukaryota; Metazoa; Chordata; Mammalia; Primates; Hominidae.
CUCUGAGGAGCCAAGGAGCAGAGGGAACUGCCAUGAGGCCAUCACCCACCAGACCAUGGCGGGAACCACCCCCGCCGCCCUUCCACCUGGGUGUCCCGCAGACUGCUUCCACUGGCUCAGAAGGAGUUUGAGAAUUACUUAAGUGAGCCUCCCGGGCCGAGGAGCAUGGUGUCGCCAGGGCCGAGCCGACGUCCUGCAAUGUGCACUGGAUCUGGGGGGCGACAGAAAGUGACAGUCAAGAUCUAUGUGAGAUGGGCUGGACAGAGACAAUGUGCAGAGGCGCCACCUAAUACGCCGGCAAAGCCUGUGCCAGCUAGCUCAUGAAGGGCUGUGAUAUGGUUUGGCAAUGUGUCCCCAUCCAAAUCUCAUGUUAAAUUGUGAUCCCCAGAGUUGGAGGUGGGGCCUGGUGGGAGGUGAUUGGAUCAUUGGGGUAGUUUUGAAUGGUUUAGCCCCAGCCCCCUAGUGCUGUCUUGUGAUAGAGUUCUCAUGAGAUGUGGUUGUUUGAAAGUGUGUAGCACCUCCCUCUUCACACUCUCUCUCUCCUAUCAGCCAUGUGAAGAUGUACCUG